Long non-coding RNA from Thamnophis elegans (Western terrestrial garter snake), 738 nucleotides. RefSeq lists it as uncharacterized. The record is from RefSeq and is a predicted model, not a curated record. NCBI's taxonomy places the organism in Eukaryota, Metazoa, Chordata, Lepidosauria, Squamata, Natricidae. The transcript is spliced from 4 exons.
AAACAUUAACCCCUAAGUGCCUAUGUUAGUGAAAAGUAUGCUUCACAUGACUCAACUGCUCUGUCAAGGAAGACAGAUUCUCUCCCCUCCCCCUCCAAUAAGUAAAUAAAUACAAUUGGGAGUAUUGGUUACAUUUCUUAAUAAAGCAUUAUUUAGCUGGAAAAAGACAUCAACACUCUUCCCCAAGGUGGUAAUCAUUUCAUUUACCACAUGCAAAAACACCUCCUCCACAGGCUGGAAAAGGCCUUAAAGUAUUAACAGUAUGAAAUACUCUUUUGUGUUUUACCUCCCACAAAGGAGACCAGCUAAAUCACAGCCUCAGCAAUUCCUGUAAAUCUACAAAUCUUUCCUGCUGUGAAUUAUAAAAAACUGAACUGGAAUGCAAAGGCAACAUAUCUGAUAUUACAUUUUCAGUAAAGAGGACGAUGACUUUCUGACUCACAAACUGCUGUUUUAAGUAGCUCGAAAUAAACACCAAAUGCAUGGAUUUUCAGAAAGGUCAACUAUUUCUCUGCAGAGCAACUUACCACAUGAAACAUUACAAAAUAAACCAACAACCCUGAGAAAUGUUUUGGGAAAUAUUGGACAUUUUGGAAUGUGCAUCUCCCAUAAAUGUCCUUUGUUUUGAGAUUAAUGAAAUUUACCUCGUUUACGUGUCCCAGGAUGCAUUGUGCUGUUCAGAUGAUCAUGCGUAACAAGUCCAAGAGAAACCAUAAAGGCAAGUUUCUGAAUUAAGAG